UAAAGAUUCAUCGCUGAUAGAUAGGCAUGCGUUCCAUUAGGCAGUUGGCGGGGUAACGGCCCACCAAACCGACGAUGGAUAGGGGUUCUGAGAGGAAGGUCCCCCACAUUGGUACUGAGACACGGACCAAACUCCUACGGGAGGCAGCAGUGAGGAAUAUUGGUCAAUGGGCGUAAGCCUGAACCAGCCAAGUCGCGUGAGGGAUGAAGGUUCUAUGGAUCGUAAACCUCUUUUAUAAGGGAAUAAAGUGCGGGACGUGUCCCGUUUUGUAUGUACCUUAUGAAUAAGGAUCGGCUAACUCCGUGCCAGCAGCCGCGGUAAUACGGAGGAUCCGAGCGUUAUCCGGAUUUAUUGGGUUUAAAGGGUGCGUAGGCGGCCUUUUAAGUCAGCGGUGAAAGUCUGUGGCUCAACCAUAGAAUUGCCGUUGAAACUGGGAGGCUUGAGUAUGUUUGAGGCAGGCGGAAUGCGUGGUGUAGCGGUGGAAUGCUUAGAUAUCACGCAGAACCCCGAUUGCGAAGGCAGCCUGCCAAGCCAUGACUGACGCUGAUGCACGAAAGCGUGGGGAUCAAACAGGAUUAGAUACCCUGGUAGUCCACGCAGU
RNAcentral lists this ribosomal RNA (601 nucleotides) under uncultured bacterium. RNAcentral's name for it is "bacterial SSU rRNA". It matches the Rfam family "Bacterial small subunit ribosomal RNA", at positions 202 to 803 of the family's 1533-position model. The record is from RNAcentral.